UCCGGUGGCGAUACGCCCAGGGGUCACACCCGUACCCAUCCCGAACACGAUGGUUAAGACCUGGGAGGCCGAUGAUACUAUGCUGGAGACGGCAUGGGAAAGCAGGUGGCUGCCGGGA
Blautia sp. is the source of this 118-nucleotide ribosomal RNA. NCBI's taxonomy places the organism in Bacteria, Bacillati, Bacillota, Clostridia, Lachnospirales, Lachnospiraceae. The record is from Rfam.